AAAUCGGGACGGGGUCAAUGCGGCGGCUCAAGCGGCUGGGGGCGGCGCGGCGGCUCGAUGUAGAUCGGCGUCAGCGGUUGGAGCUUGCAGGGGGCGGAUCCGUGCACGGCAGGGGCUGGGGAGGCGGAUCAGGAGGCCGGCGGCGAGGUGGGGUCACCAGUGACGACAAGGAUGGCCGGAGCGCGGAUUCCCUGGCGGAUCCAUGGAGUCUGAGGCUCCUAGGCAAGGAAGGGAAGUGAGGGAGAGAAGGAGGGAGUAAGGAGGGGCGGCGCAGCGACCUAGGCAGGAGCUUGCCGGAGCCGGGCGAUGGUGGACGGGCACGGGAGACAGAGGGAUCCGGCGUGGCGGCGCGAAGUCCUUGCAGGUGGCGCACCUCGGCCGUCAUCGAGGCCACCGCCGCCACCUGCCGGUGCAACGAGGCAGAGGAGGAUCUCCUGGUUUUGCUUCGUCGCCAACUCCAUGUUCACGGUCGUGGUUCUAAUCCCUCUCUUGCCACUCCACUGUUUUGAUUUAUUGUAUACGUGCAGUUCAUCUCCCAGUGACCCAGUCGCUGGCUGGAUGUGUCUAUAUCUCUCAUCAUUUUGUCAAAUCAGAUAACCUAUCAGUAGGAAAUUAUUUUCCUCCACUUUGCAAGACCACAUAACCAAUUUACUAUCAGCGGUCUAUACGAUUAAUUUCUAACUUUGCAGGAUCAUUCUGACUCGGCAUCUGUCACUCUAACAAGUGUUCGUCUUUAAUGUCCUACACUAUAUUCUGCAACAAAAUUUGCCCUGUGUGCAUGAGUACCAAUAAUUUGGGUUAUUUCGUUUUGUUGAAAUGAUGAUAAAAUUGAGUUAAGCGAGUUGGAGCUACUGCACCCCUAGCCUGAGUGGAAUGAGCUCAUGGAGCGCCUCGAAGGCCCCGACAACGGUGGCAGUAGGCGUUGCCAUUAGAUCUGGAGGUAGAGGGAGUCACCACGAGGAGCGGCAACCGAAGACAGGCAGCAUCGACUGUGUCAAGCAAGCUGUAGGAGGCCUGCGCGACUCCUUGCCGAUCACUUGACAGUCCAAGCCUGCAAUAGUGUCGAUUCAGGUAGGCGUGUGGCAUGGCCGAAUCCUGCCCGAUCAAGGCCAACCAAUGGACAUGUUGUAUGCAUCGAUGUCCCAAUCCAGCAGGCAAUACAUGUCUGCAAACAGUCCUGAAAAAAGUCAUUCGAUAAGAAAAAAACUCAGGAAAGUAUGGUGGUUCUACGUCACUAGGCAAAUCAGAAGAGACUACCCAUCUAUAAUGACAGGUGGUGGUAGACACCUGAAUUGUAGUGAUGCAUUCUCUUCCGACAGGCUCCAAAUGAUGGUUAUUCUGUAGGAUUGGGAGAUGGAUGUAUUGUCCUUGUCCGUGCCGUUUGCUUUUGUGGGAAGAAAAAAAUGUUGAGUUUCAUGGUUCGCAGUGUGGUUUUCGAUGGUGGAUGUGACAUCCGACGAUUGCCGAGGAAGAAAGGUGCAGGGGAGAGAAUCAAUUUGUGGUUUAUGAAUGGAAACCUUGUGCCAACAUGUUUGAUAUGUUUGCUUAUUACUAUAUGUUUGCUUAUUACUCAAUGGUUGCAUUGGCAAAUGGGGCCUCAACAAUCUCUUGUGCCAUUUGAACUUUAAUUUGAUUAUCGAUGAAGCAAGAUAUUCUAGAUUUAUCGAAUCCUAUUUUUUUCAUCAGAUCGAUAUGGUUGUCUGUAUGAACUACGGCAUAAGCUUCUUUGAGCAGCUUUUGACGGUGUUUCCAUCUUUUAAUUUCUCAGCAAUUGCAAGUACCAACCUCAGAGUUGAAAGUAAGUGAUGCAUAUUUUUCACGGAUCAAAUAGGAAUCACUACCACAGUACUGGCCUAACUUCUGUACUAAUGCCUACAUCAACCGCCUGGGAAGAAGUUCUAGGUACAUCUAUUGAAUCGGUCGGUUUAUCUUCCUUUAUCUAUAACUCGAUAUAGAUAUUAGGCCAAGUAGGCUAUUACAGUACAGGUGGACCACUUUUAGACAUGCCAUAUUCUUUGUCUGAAUAACAAAAUUAUUUUCACAUGGAAACCUCACACAAAAUCGUUGUUUAAAUCAUUGUUGGAUGUUCCAUUCUUUGAUUAUUUUGUUACAUUCAAACUAAGAAUAAUGCAAGAAAAAAAACCUUCAUUGUUCUAGAGAGGUGUUGGAGGCUCAGAGCUGCAUAUUCUAAUGAUAUAACUGUCAAUUACAAAAUAAGACCAAACACUAUUUCUACGAAUUAGCAUCAAGUUGCCAGGAGCAGUGAAGCGCCAAUAAUGGUCAACUAUGGUGCUUGAGGAGAUGGAUAUAUGUAGUUGUAAGGUUGCAGAUAUAGGCUGGAGCAAUAUGUAAGUACUAUUACAGAAUUACUUCAGCUUAUGCUGAGUGUUUCCAUUAGCUAGAUGGUUGUGCUUCAUGUCCUAGGAUCACAUGCCCUUUAUGUUCAGAGUACGGUCUGAUUAUGAAUAAGAUAAUAAAAGGGUCGUUACUUCUAACUAGACAUUUUGUUAAUUUCCAGUUGAAGGCUUCCACGCGCCACCUCCUUCUCCCCCUCCUUCGCCGGGUCGAGAAGGGAGCAGCGACGAAGCAGAGGUAGACGUGGACACGUGGUAGGAGCCAAGGGGGGAACGGGGAAAGGCGGACGCGAGAUCCGUGAAGCCAGAGAAGGUACAUGAGCUUGUCCACCGCAGGCUAUAGCUCCAAAAUCGGCGGUGUCAGCCGCCACCAGUGCCACCGUGUUCGCCUCCGGCUGGCCUGGUAGCAACAAAAGUAUGGCUACAGGUGUGGUUCAUUCAGUUUUGUAGUUCGAUUUACUUGCUUGUGCAUAUGUGCGUGUAUACUGAGAGAGAGGGAGAGAUUAUUCUGUUCUAGCAGUCAUAUUUCUGUCGCAAAUCUGCUCCCCUCCACUCCUUUUUCAUUUAACUGAAAUCUGAAUGUGUAAAGCAGUUGCAAAUUAAGAGCAGCAGAGUAAAUGUCAAAAGUU
Molecule: long non-coding RNA, 2983 nt
Organism: Triticum aestivum (bread wheat)
Lineage: Eukaryota; Viridiplantae; Streptophyta; Magnoliopsida; Poales; Poaceae
Exons: 6
Source: RefSeq, a predicted model, not a curated record